UUUCCGUAGGUGAACCUGCGGAAGGAUCAUUAAUGAGUUGUCAUGGGGUUCGAUGCUGGCAGCCAGUUUUUGGAUGCAUGUGCUUGCCCUAACAAUCAUCUUCUUCCAAACACCUGUGCACAUUUUUGAGGGAGUCUUGAGUUGGUUGCCGCUCUUGAGUGAUUUUCUCACAUUCCCUUAAAUCAUUAUACGCUAUUAACAAUGUUGAACGUGCUCUGUGCCGCAAGGCCAUUAAUAUAAUACAACUUUUAACAACGGAUCUCUUGGCUCUC
RNAcentral lists this unclassified non-coding RNA (272 nucleotides) under plant metagenome. RNAcentral describes it as "partial contains small subunit ribosomal RNA, internal transcribed spacer 1, and 5.8S ribosomal RNA". The record is from RNAcentral.